Scophthalmus maximus (turbot) is the source of this 510-nucleotide long non-coding RNA. RefSeq lists it as uncharacterized. The transcript has 2 exons. The record is from RefSeq and is a predicted model, not a curated record. NCBI's taxonomy places the organism in Eukaryota, Metazoa, Chordata, Actinopteri, Pleuronectiformes, Scophthalmidae.
CAGCUCAAGGCACUUUCUUUCCAUGCGUGUACCGUGCUGUUGGAGGCUUGGUGUUUGUCAUCAUAGUGAUAGCGAUAUCCAUCACACCGACGUGACUGUUCAGAGGUUUCUGUUGUGCAGGAUGAACCAGGGACGCGGCAGAUCCAACCUGCCAGACUCCCCAUUAUGCCUCGUCCACCAUUGAUGACUAUGAAAAUGAUUUGACUUAAAAUCAAUCUGUUAAACGUUAUGAUACCAGGGCUAAUAUCAAAACAAGUAAUGUAAUUAUCUAAAGAUUAGAACUUAUCUCUGAUAUAUUACAUUUUUCCGGAUUUCUGUGUGAAAUUAGUCAAUCAGUGAAAGGCUUUGCCAUUAUUGUACUUUGUAUUGUGUAUUGUAUUUUAGAUCUGUUGUUCAUUCCUUCAUAGAGCUGUUUUCUUGACUCCAUUUUGUGCACUUGAAUUCCUGUAAAUCAAAGUGUAGUAACACAGCAGUUAAAAUUACAAAAUAAAGUGAUAUUGUUUGAUCAGG